Molecule: non-coding RNA, 81 nt
Organism: Schistosoma rodhaini
Lineage: Eukaryota; Metazoa; Platyhelminthes; Trematoda; Strigeidida; Schistosomatidae
Source: Rfam
AGCCUUCUGUAUCCGUGCUGAGAUUUCGUCACAUACCAGACCACAAGGGCUGAUGAGACUCCCAAGUUCAGUUUGAAAACA